This 26-nucleotide small RNA is filed under the name Bombyx mori (domestic silkworm). RNAcentral describes it as "ovarian small RNA-33601". The record is from RNAcentral. Lineage: Eukaryota; Metazoa; Arthropoda; Insecta; Lepidoptera; Bombycidae.
UGCAUGUUUUGAUACUCGGAAAUGGU